UACGAAGGGGGCUAGCGUUGUUCGGAAUUACUGGGCGUAAAGCGCACGUAGGCGGAUAUUUAAGUCAGGGGUGAAAUCCCAGAGCUCAACUCUGGAACUGCCUUUGAUACUGGGUAUCUCGAGUAUGGAAGAGGUGAGUGGAAUUCCGAGUGUAGAGGUGAAAUUCGUAGAUAUUCGGAGGAACACCAGUGGCGAAGGCGGCUCACUGGUCCAUUACUGACGCUGAGGUGCGAAAGCGUGGGGAGCGAACAGG
This 253-nucleotide ribosomal RNA is filed under the name uncultured bacterium. Its description in RNAcentral is "partial 16S ribosomal RNA". It matches the Rfam family "Bacterial small subunit ribosomal RNA", at positions 524 to 776 of the family's 1533-position model. The record is from RNAcentral.